GAUGUGUUCUGUUUAGCGUUAUGCUCAUUAUACUGGACGUGUUGGAAAUCUUGAACCUCGAAGUGGAGAAGUUAGCUCUCUCCAGAGUUAAUUUUGUGCGGCGUCAAGCAGAAAACCUCGGAGCCCCCACCGCAGGCAUCCAGAGUGAACACAUUCAUGCACAACGGCGCCUCCACCAGGCAACAAUUAUGACCUCAUUAAGCUGGGUCAGCCGCACCGCGGGGCCUGGCGUUCCGCUCUUCUGUGAGCAUGUUUAAUGAGAUGAAAAUGUAUUUGGGACAAUAAAAUCCAUUUACACA
This is a long non-coding RNA of Brienomyrus brachyistius, 299 nucleotides long. RefSeq lists it as uncharacterized. The transcript has 2 exons. NCBI's taxonomy places the organism in Eukaryota, Metazoa, Chordata, Actinopteri, Osteoglossiformes, Mormyridae. The record is from RefSeq and is a predicted model, not a curated record.